CGUCCUCUGCGGUGUACGUGUUGUUCCGGCAAUCCUUUGAACCUAUCACCACAAUCCGGGAGCCGAACAGCAGAUGCUGUUGUGCAAGUCCGCCAUCGCAGCGGAAAGCCUGAUGCAUCUCUAAGGCGCCCACUUGAACCGUUCGGUUCAAGGUGUAACGGGCAACACGGCACAGGCGGAGGGCGC
RNAcentral lists this non-coding RNA (186 nucleotides) under Candidatus Muproteobacteria bacterium RBG_16_60_9. RNAcentral's name for it is "6S RNA". It matches the Rfam family "6S / SsrS RNA". From Rfam's summary of the family: E. coli 6S RNA was the first non coding RNA to be sequenced, but its function was unknown until recently. It consists of 184 nucleotides that fold into an extended hairpin structure with a large single-stranded internal bulge. The record is from RNAcentral. Lineage: Bacteria; Pseudomonadati; Pseudomonadota; Candidatus Muproteobacteria.